AAGUCGUAACAAGGUUUCCGUAGGUGAACCUGCGGAAGGAUCAUUAACACGUAUCCAAACGUUAAACCCCCCUGUGAACCUUCAGUCGUACUCGUACGUCCGUUAGAAAAAGCAGCAAUCCCUGGUAAAUCAUCGCCGAACAGUUUUCGAUUCAGGGACGUCUGCAAGGAGCGUGCAUGUUGUGCGUGUAAGUGGCCUGGCAUCCCCAAGCAGUUAGUGUCUGAAAGUGUCACUAACGUUAGUGUCUGAAAGUGUGCAGUCACGAUCGUUGGAGGCCCACACGGCCGACGACCGGGUCACUGGGUGCAAGCCCCUUUAUCACACCCCUGCUCUAUCUAUGGUGAUCCUGCGGGAAGUCCUGCGGUCGAACGCCGAAACCGAACAACUGUUAACAAUGGAUAUCUUGGUUCUC
RNAcentral lists this unclassified non-coding RNA (412 nucleotides) under fungal sp. RNAcentral's name for it is "partial internal transcribed spacer region". The stretch from base 1 to 46 matches the Rfam family "Eukaryotic small subunit ribosomal RNA", at positions 1786 to 1831 of the family's 1831-position model. Lineage: Eukaryota; Fungi. The record is from RNAcentral.